GUGCUCGCUUCGGCAGCACGUAUACUAAAACUGGAACGACACAGAGACGAUUAGCACGGCCCCUGCGCAGGGGUGACACGCAGAUUCGUGAAGCAAGCGUUCCAUGUUUUA
This is a small nuclear RNA of Chionomys nivalis (European snow vole), 111 nucleotides long. Lineage: Eukaryota; Metazoa; Chordata; Mammalia; Rodentia; Cricetidae. The record is from RefSeq and is a predicted model, not a curated record.